RNAcentral lists this microRNA precursor (71 nucleotides) under Pelobates cultripes (western spadefoot toad). Lineage: Eukaryota; Metazoa; Chordata; Amphibia; Anura; Pelobatidae. The record is from RNAcentral.
ACAAGCUUUCGGGAGAACCUCCCUUUCUCAAUGCUUCAGACUUGAGAAAGGGAGGUUCUCCCGAAAGCUUG